RNAcentral lists this small RNA (29 nucleotides) under Bombyx mori (domestic silkworm). Its description in RNAcentral is "ovarian small RNA-10577". Lineage: Eukaryota; Metazoa; Arthropoda; Insecta; Lepidoptera; Bombycidae. The record is from RNAcentral.
AAGCCCAGGGAGCGGGCUCCGGGGGAGAA